UCUCCGUUGGUGAACCAGCGGAGGGAUCAUUACCGAGUUUUCAACUCCCAAACCCCAUGUGAACUUAUACCAUUUACAACCGUUGCUUCGGCGGGUUCUCGCCCCCGCGAGGGGGUGCCUGCCGCUGGCCAACCAAAAAUUCUAGCUGUUUUUGUACCAUCUGAGUCUUCCACAAAUAAACAAAACUUUCAACAACGGAUCUCUUGGUUCUG
Molecule: unclassified non-coding RNA, 212 nt
Filed under: root metagenome
Description: partial contains small subunit ribosomal RNA, internal transcribed spacer 1, and 5.8S ribosomal RNA
Source: RNAcentral